RNAcentral lists this small RNA (939 nucleotides) under marine eukaryotic metagenome. Its description in RNAcentral is "MISL RNA". It matches the Rfam family "MISL RNA". The record is from RNAcentral.
AAUUCCGGGAUAACCGGAAUGAAAGGGCAGGUGGGGCUGAUACGCCUGCCCCCUAUCAAACCAUUCGGUCUGGUUUAAGGUCGUGUAGGAUCGCCGUCUAUGACGGGGUGAUAUCACGAUUUUCUUCUGGAAUAAGCCGAGUGGGGAGAAGGCAAAGUUCACCUGAAUGCCCGGUGAUGUUCGCGCAUUACCGAUCGCGAAAUGGCAUGCAGGGAGCGAGGGGCGCUGGGAUGUAACAAUCCCGGCAGAAGCUGCCCCAAGCUUGGCCGGCUCAACCGGCAGCAGGACUCGGUGCCUUCGGGUGCCAAGAACAAUACGCUGCAGGCGAGGCCAGCCCGGAUUCGAAUCCUUAGGGAUUCAGAUUUGAGUGAGACGUUUGGAUUUGCUUUGAAUCUGAACUGAACGCAGUUGCCUGAAUUAGGUGUUGGUUGCUUACUGUGACAUCAGCACGGCGGAAGCCAUAAAUUGACUGGAAACAGUCAGCCGGACGAAAUCCUCCGAAAGGAGAACAAAAGCCGGGGUUCCCGUCGGGAUAGCCACGUGCCGAAGACGAUGGCCGUGAAAACUAUCCGAAACCGUGGCGAUGCGGCAAAAACCGCAGCGCUGCAAAGUAUGUGAAAUGGCAACCUGAGGGAUAAGAGGCGAGACCCGUGGCACGGGCCAACGCAUCGUCACAAGCGAUGGCCGACCCGGAGCCAAAGGGCUAGGAUGCGAAUGUAAUACUGGCGUGUCCCAGCCUGGUCCGCAGGUCAGUGGCCGCAACCACUGGCUGAGCGGGCAAAUAAACCUCACCCGAAAAUUCAUGCGUCGCAAGACCUUGAACGGCCCUGCUAUGAGGCCGGCAACUCCGCACGUCACGGAGAAUAGCGUCGGGGAGCAAUCGACCUGCUUCGGCUGGUGCCAAAUGAUUGCAUCGGGAAAGAGCGCGUGGCGAGCGCC